Molecule: ribosomal RNA, 466 nt
Filed under: Vreelandella stevensii
Lineage: Bacteria; Pseudomonadati; Pseudomonadota; Gammaproteobacteria; Oceanospirillales; Halomonadaceae
Description: partial 16S ribosomal RNA
Rfam family: Bacterial small subunit ribosomal RNA
Source: RNAcentral
CCUACGGGCGUGCAGCAGUGGGGAAUAUUGGACAAUGGGCGAAAGCCUGAUCCAGCCAUGCCGCGUGUGUGAAGAAGGCCUUCGGGUUGUAAAGCACUUUCAGUGGGGAAGAAAGCCUUGGGGCUAAUACCCUCGAGGAAGGACAUCACCCACAGAAGAAGCACCGGCUAACUCCGUGCCAGCAGCCGCGGUAAUACGGAGGGUGCGAGCGUUAAUCGGAAUUACUGGGCGUAAAGCGCGCGUAGGCGGUCUGAUAAGCCGGUUGUGAAAGCCCCGGGCUCAACCUGGGAACGGCAUCCGGAACUGUCAGGCUAGAGUGCAGGAGAGGAAGGUAGAAUUCCCGGUGUAGCGGUGAAAUGCGUAGAGAUCGGGAGGAAUACCAGUGGCGAAGGCGGCCUUCUGGACUGACACUGACGCUGAGGUGCGAAAGCGUGGGUAGCAAACAGGAUUAGAUACCCGAGUAGUC